Meriones unguiculatus (Mongolian gerbil) is the source of this 959-nucleotide long non-coding RNA. RefSeq lists it as uncharacterized. The record is from RefSeq and is a predicted model, not a curated record. The transcript has 3 exons. Lineage: Eukaryota; Metazoa; Chordata; Mammalia; Rodentia; Muridae.
CCGCCCGCCGCGGGGAGGGCGCGCUGGGUCCGCGUCACUCCUCCCCCUCUGGACCUGGCGGCGGGCUCCCGCUCUUAUCGCCUCCGAGCCUCUCCGGGGUCCUCUUCGCGCUGUUACGUCUCUCCCGGCUCUUUCCCUUUCCCCUGGCUGCCCUCUCCCGAGCCGGGGCUACGGAUCCCCUGGCCUUCUGCUGGGAGCACAACUCCCAGCCUUGGCAAGACUCGACUACCCGGGACUUAAUUCAUUCUCCGUCCCUUCCAGCACCCCGUCCCUAUCCCAGGAGCCCCCACCUCCGCCCCCACCUCCGCCCCCACCCCCGCUUGCCUAGAGUGGGCCCACCCUGCCCCUCCUCCACCCCUGCCGGGUCCUGUUGGGGCUGAGCCUUGGGGCGGUGGCGGUGCCCUGGAAGGACCUCCUUAGCCAUCGUCCCCACUGCCCGAACUGACACCAUCUGUCAACUCUAUUUAGACAGUUCUGCACUCGGCCACACGCCGGGGUGCCAGACAUCCCAAGGGGUCUGUGUACUAUGCCUUCCCAACGCUGGAACUUGGUAGCUAAACUUCUGUGUUUCAGCCAUGGAUGUGUCCAGAUUUAUUGGGCAAGAACACAGUGGAUAACAAAUGAGGUCAAAUUCUUUCUCCCUCAUGGAGAAUUCGUUUCUGGCGGGCAGGCAGCAUUUGCUUAAUUCUUUCUUUACCUUUGCUGUGUUGGAGAUGGAAGCAAACCAUGGGAACUCUACCUGAGUCCCAGCCCCAGCCCAGCUGCAGAGUGAAAAUGGAAGUCUCAUUGCUGAUGCUGCUUUGUUUAGAUUGGUCCCAUUCCCUAGGAGGUCCCUUCUGGUGUGAGCCUUUCCCCACUACUUUUUGUUUUCUAUAAACAACAAAAAUCUUGGUUUCUUUAAAAAUGGAGGAGUACAGCUAUGAUUCAUUAAACAAUUCUAGAUCAGCCUGCAGGCUUCU